This 70-nucleotide transfer RNA is filed under the name Stegodyphus dumicola. RNAcentral's name for it is "tRNA-Gly". It matches the Rfam family "tRNA". From Rfam's summary of the family: Transfer RNA (tRNA) molecules are approximately 80 nucleotides in length. Their secondary structure includes four short double-helical elements and three loops (D, anti-codon, and T loops). The record is from RNAcentral. Lineage: Eukaryota; Metazoa; Arthropoda; Arachnida; Araneae; Eresidae.
GCAUCGGUGGUUCAGUCGUAGAAUGCUCGCCUGCCACGCGGCGGCUCGGGUUCAAUUCCCGGCUGAUGCA